Molecule: ribosomal RNA, 301 nt
Filed under: uncultured bacterium
Lineage: Bacteria
Description: partial 16S ribosomal RNA
Rfam family: Bacterial small subunit ribosomal RNA
Source: RNAcentral
CAGUAGCCGCGGGAAUACGGAGGGUGCAAGCGUUAAUCGGAAUUACUGGGCGUAAAGCGUGCGUAGGUGGUGGUUUAAGUCCGUUGUGAAAGCCCUGGGCUCAACCUGGGAAUUGCAGUGGAUACUGGGUCACUAGAGUGUGGUAGAGGAUAGUGGAAUUUCCGGUGUAGCAGUGAAAUGCGUAGAGAUCGGAAGGAACAUCUGUGGCGAAGGCGACUAUCUGGGCCAACACUGACACUGAGGCACGAAAGCGUGGGGAGCAAACAGGAUUAGAUACCCCCGUAGUCCCUGUCUCUUAUAC